AGCGAACGCUGGCGGCAGGCUUAACACAUGCAAGUCGAGCGGGCACUUUCGGGUGUCAGCGGCGGACGGGUGAGUAACGCGUGGGAACGUGCCCUCUGGUUCGGAAUAACUCAGGGAAACUUGAGCUAAUACCGGAUACGCCCUUUUGGGGAAAGGCUUGCUGCCGGAGGAUCGGCCCGCGUCUGAUUCGCUAGUUGGUGAGGUAACGGCUCACCAAGGCGACGACCAGUAGCUGGGCUGAGAGGAUGAUCAGCCACACUGGGACUGAGCCACGGCCCAGACUCCGACGGGAGGCAGCAGUGGGGAAUAUUGGACAAUGGGCGCAAGCUUGAUCCACCCAUGCCGCUUGAGUGAUGAAGGCCUUAGGGUUGUAAAGCUCCUUUAUCCGGGACGAUAAUGACGGUACCGGAGGAAUAAGCCCCGGCUAACUUCGUG
Molecule: ribosomal RNA, 435 nt
Filed under: uncultured bacterium
Lineage: Bacteria
Description: partial 16S ribosomal RNA
Rfam family: Bacterial small subunit ribosomal RNA
Source: RNAcentral